This 465-nucleotide ribosomal RNA is filed under the name Vreelandella stevensii. RNAcentral describes it as "partial 16S ribosomal RNA". It matches the Rfam family "Bacterial small subunit ribosomal RNA", at positions 338 to 795 of the family's 1533-position model. The record is from RNAcentral. Lineage: Bacteria; Pseudomonadati; Pseudomonadota; Gammaproteobacteria; Oceanospirillales; Halomonadaceae.
CCUACGGGAGGCAGCAGUGGGGAAGAUUGGACAAUGGGGGGAACCCUGAUCCAGCCAUGCCGCGUGUGUGAAGAAGGCCCUCGGGUUAUAAAGCACUUUCAGUGAGGAAGAACGCCUGGUGGUUAAUACCCAUCAGGAAAGACAUCACUCACAGAAGAAGCACCGGCUAACUCCGUGCCAGCAGCCGCGGUAAUACGGAGGGUGCGAGCGUUAAUCGGAAUUACUGGGCGUAAAGCGCGCGUAGGUGGCUUGAUAAGCCGGUUGUGAAAGCCCCGGGCUCAACCUGGGAACGGCAUCCGGAACUGUCAAGCUAGAGUGCAGGAGAGGAAGGUAGAAUUCCCGGUGUAGCGGUGAAAUGCGUAGAGAUCGGGAGGAAUACCAGUGGCGAAGGCGGCCUUCUGGACUGACACUGACACUGAGGUGCGAAAGCGUGGGUAGCAAACAGGAUUAGAUACCCGUGUAGUC